AUUGAACGCUGGCGGAAUGCUUUACACAUGCAAGUCGAACGGCAGCACGGACUUCGGUCUGGUGGCGAGUGGCGAACGGGUGAGUAAUACAUCGGAACGUGCCCAGUCGUGGGGGAUAACGUAGCGAAAGCUACGCUAAUACCGCAUACGAUCUAAGGAUGAAAGCGGGGGAUCGCAAGACCUCGCGCGAUUGGAGCGGCCGAUGGCAGAUUAGGUAGUUGGUGGGGUAAAGGCUCACCAAGCCGACGAUCUGUAGCUGGUCUGGGAGGACGACCAGCCACACUGGGACUGAGACACGGCCCAGACUCCUACGGGAGGCAGCAGUGGGGAAUUUUGGACAAUGGGCGCAAGCCUGAUCCAGCCAUUCCGCGUGCAGGAUGAAGGCCCUCGGGUUGUAAACUGCUUUUGUACGGAACGAAAAGGCUCUGGUUAAUACCCGGGGAUCAUGACGGUACCGUAAGAGUAAGCACCGGCUAACUACGUGCCAGCCGCCGCCGUAA
RNAcentral lists this ribosomal RNA (500 nucleotides) under uncultured bacterium. Its description in RNAcentral is "partial 16S ribosomal RNA". It matches the Rfam family "Bacterial small subunit ribosomal RNA", at positions 30 to 523 of the family's 1533-position model. The record is from RNAcentral.